Molecule: ribosomal RNA, 207 nt
Filed under: uncultured delta proteobacterium
Lineage: Bacteria; Deltaproteobacteria
Description: partial 16S ribosomal RNA
Rfam family: Bacterial small subunit ribosomal RNA
Source: RNAcentral
CGUGUAGGCGGCUUGACAAGUCAGAUGUGAAAUCCCCGGGCUUAACUCGGGAAGUGCAUUUGAAACUGUCUGGCUAGAGUAAGGGAGAGGAAAGUGGAAUUCCUGGUGUAGAGGUGAAAUUCGUAGAUAUCAGGAGGAACACCGGUGGCGAAGGCGACUUUCUGGCCCUAUACUGACGCUGAGACGCGAAAGCGUGGGUAGCAAACA